This 465-nucleotide ribosomal RNA is filed under the name Vreelandella stevensii. RNAcentral describes it as "partial 16S ribosomal RNA". It matches the Rfam family "Bacterial small subunit ribosomal RNA", at positions 338 to 795 of the family's 1533-position model. The record is from RNAcentral. Lineage: Bacteria; Pseudomonadati; Pseudomonadota; Gammaproteobacteria; Oceanospirillales; Halomonadaceae.
CCUACGGGCGGCUGCAGUGGGGAAUAUUGGACAAUGGGGGGAACCCUGAUCCAGCCAUGCCGCGUGUGUGAAGAAGGCCCUCGGGUUGUAAAGCACUUUCAGUGAGGAAGAACGCCUGGUGGUUAAUACCCAUCAGGAAAGACAUCACUCACAGAAGAAGCACCGGCUAACUCCGUGCCAGCAGCCGCGGUAAUACGGAGGGUGCGAGCGUUAAUCGGAAUUACUGGGCGUAAAGCGCGCGUAGGUGGCUUGAUAAGCCGGUUGUGAAAGCCCCGGGCGCAACCUGGGAACGGCAUCCGGAACUGUCAAGCUAGAGUGCAGGAGAGGAAGGUAGAAUUCCCGGUGUAGCGGUGAAAUGCGUAGAGAUCGGGAGGAAUACCAGUGGCGAAGGCGGCCUUCUGGACUGACACUGACACUGAGGUGCGAAAGCGUGGGUAGCAAACAGGAUUAGAUACCCUGGUAGUC